Molecule: non-coding RNA, 838 nt
Organism: Biomphalaria pfeifferi
Lineage: Eukaryota; Metazoa; Mollusca; Gastropoda; Planorbidae
Source: the annotation of a GenBank genome assembly
AAACAUAACAAGCUGUUUAUUUGAAUGUAAUGACUUGUUUAUAGUUUAAAAAAAACAGUUACAAACAGGUAGGGCUUCAAAUAAAACAAUGCAUGAUCUAUUUGUAGUAAUAAUAGUAUAAGUACAGAAACAUCACGAGAUAUUUGACUGAACGUCACAGGUCUACUGUAUCACGCGAGUGCACCCUCAUUUCUGAAGACUACAGCGGCAAGCACACAGAUGCACACACACAACUACCAAAGCAGCUCGGGAUAUAUCUCUAGGUAGAGUGAGCGCCUAGUUAUCUGUCAGGCGCUCCCGUCAAUCCAGGGGCAGGAAACUUUAGUUGACCAAAUGUUCACCAGGGUCAAUGACAACGGGAUAACGUUUACUAUUGAGAAGAGGGGAGACAACAAAAAGUAUCUGGACUACAGCUUGGUUGAACUAUUUACCUUUGAAUUGUCAAAUGUAUCUUUUUAAAAAUAAAUGCUUAUUUUAGACACUGUUUAACACUAAUUUUCGAGAUGUUAAAGUCAUAGAUGGUACCAGCUACUCCACUGUUUUCAACAUUCCUCCAUAGCCGAGCUGGACAGGGGAUUGGGUUUAUGGCACAUUGGCACUAUAUAAUGCCGUAUAGAACACAUCUGAGCUAUUUUCAGUAUGUAUUAUAUUACAUUUUGUAUUCUAUAAACUUAGUCAAUAUGAAUACAAUUGAAAUCUAGAAGACUCUCCAGUAACAUUUUAGCUACUUGAUGUACAGUUAUUUAAAAAAACAACAACUAUUUUUGGAAACAAUUACAUGAAGUAUAUAUACAUUGCCUAAAGUUCAAUCCAAUACUAAAGAAAAAAAGGGGGGGGG